UCUCCACUCUGGGGUAGGGCCCUCCAGUUUCGCCCCUUUGAAAUUUCAAAUUCCAGUUUGUGGACAAAGUCCUAAACUUUCUCACAAUAUAGGUCCCCAACCACUGACCAAACUCCAGUCCAGGCAGCCAGCAGGCCCAGGGCUGGCCUGGCCCUGCCGCUUCCCUUGGUAGCACUCGAGUGCAGGGGAGGGGUCCUGGGCCAGCUGGGGUCUGCCAGGCCACUUCUGCAGACAGGGACCACCCCACCCGACAGGGACCCCUGCCUCCCAUCUGAGAGGACAGCUCUCUUCCUGGAGCUGGGAUCUGUCGCUUGCUGGUACCAACAGCAGAUAAUCAGGCACAUGACCACUUUCUUGCUUCCUUUGAAGUUAGAGGUGACCAUGUGACAUGUUCUGGCCAAUGAAACGAGAGCAGAAAGAAAGACCCCCGGGUCGCACCUGGACAGGAGGAGCUUGAAGAGCCAGCGCUGGGUACCUCCGGAAGUAAGUGUGGAUGAGGUGCGCCCCCUGCUGGCCCCUGACGGGCAGGUACUGUGAGUGAGCGGUUCGCUCAGCCGCCUUAAGCCCCUGAGAAGGGGCCUUCAGUCACUGCUGCACAGCCUCACCUAACUUGACUGCAUAUGAUCUUUCCAAAGAUCCCUGAUUUUCCUACCACCAUUAUGAUUUUUGUCAUAUCUGAAAACCACCUAUACUCUUACUUAAUAUUUUUCCUACAUCAACUCACUUAUUUUCAUUUAGAUUUAUCUUAGGAAGUGUUAUUACUACCAAAUGAAACACCAGUAUCGUUAAGUAGAAAGCAAUGGGAAAAUAAACGGAAUGAAAUAAACCAUUAUAGUAUAAUACUGCUGCCUUUCGAAGACUCUGGGCCCUUCCUCUGUUCUCUCUUCAUUUAAAAAAAAAAAAAUGGAGGUCCUUAAGUGUGCGGCAAUCUUUUGGGGCCCCAAAAAGCUGGCUGAGAUUGUCAGCUGUUUGGAGGUAGCACAGCAUAGAGGCUGAGAGCACAAAUUCUGGAGCCCGGUUUCCUGGGCUUGAAUUCUGGUUCUGCCACGGACUGGCUGUAUGACCUUAGGUGAAUUACUUAAUUGCUCUGUGACUGUGUGUGUGUGUUUAAUUGGCAAAAGAGGGAUGAUAAUAAUAGGUAUGUCAUUGGGAUGUUGUGGGGAUUUUCUGUGCUAAUAUACAGAAAGGACUUAGUGCCUGGCACACUGUGAGUUCUCCACGGGUGUGAGCUAUUCAGUAAUGGCAGGAUCAAGAGCCACAUGGAUUUGUGGCUGAACUCGAUGAAGAGGAAUGAGAAAUCCUCCACAUUGGUUAAAAAUAAAUCACCUGGAUAGUGUUGCUGAGGAGAGCGGCCUUAGGGGCAGUUGACACAACCAAGUUCUAGAGGUUUUACUUGGCAGCAGCGGUCCACGCCUAACAUCCGGUUUCAUGUGACAUCAGGGAGGACCAAAAGCAAAGACAACAAAAAAAUAAACAGAUGGGACCACAUUAAA
Molecule: long non-coding RNA, 1493 nt
Organism: Lutra lutra (Eurasian river otter)
Lineage: Eukaryota; Metazoa; Chordata; Mammalia; Carnivora; Mustelidae
Exons: 2
Source: RefSeq, a predicted model, not a curated record